UUUCCUCAGUUUAACAACUUUUUAAUUGGAUGGCAUUGAUUAUUUCAGCGAUGAAGUGUAUUUGGAAUAUGGAGACAACACAAAGGCAUGAAUGAAGAUUAAGUCUUGCUUCCAACCCCAGAAAAAUGUUAAAAAGAGUUACCAGAGUAUUUGAAAAUAUUUUUAAUAGUUUGGAACAACUAAAUUUAGCUAAGCUGCAGAUAGGCCUCUCUUUAUUACAGCCAGAGUUACUAUGGCAACAUGCUACAAUUAUUUAUCGCCAUGACGAUCCACUGGAGAUUUUUUAAAUGCAUUAUCUAUUUUUGUUUGCAUUGUCAUUCCUGCCAGGGGAGGGAAGACACCAAUUUGGUGCUCUGUGAAAUGGUCAACAUUUCACCCCAGCCAUGGCAGGGUGGAGGCUGGGGGAGAUUUUAAAUUAAGCGUCAGGAAAAGCCAAGGAACAACCUCUAUCAGGAUUAUUUUUUCCCCCUUUUUUAGUCAAAAAUAGGUUACUGUUUCUAACUGACAAGUGAAUAAGAGCUUGUUCUUUGCCAGUCUUCCUCCUGACUGCUCUUUGAUAAUCUGAGAUACCAGAAACAAAUGGGAAUGAAUGAGUUCUGCAACACCCAGGAACUGUUAUUAUCUCUGCCACGGGGAGAGGGAAAUGCAGACGAGCUAUAUUAGGCAACUUCUCUAAGGUCACAUCAGCAGGCAGCGAUAAGGAUGUGAUUAGGACCUGCUUCCCUGGCCACAUCCUCCAGUGUGGCGGCAGCAUCACGAAUCCAGUGCUGCUGUCACAAGGGCUCUGCAUCUUUAUUAUGUACACCAGGUCAGGGGGAAUUGGAAAAGCCUGUCAAUCCCUGGUUGCAGGAACGAGGGAGGGAUAUCUGCAAAGUGCUGCCACUGCAUUUGUUUGGCUGUGACAGCAGAGGAGCUCCACCAGCUCAUCAAUGCUCGGGGGGCUCUUUUUUGGGUGCCAGGUGGGUUUUGCUGCCCUUGCCCAGCCCACACCAGAGGUUCAGGUGCACCAAGCUGGAGAGGUCUUGCCCUGGCAGAGGCACAGCAGACCUCCCUCCACCCCAGGACACGGUGUGUGGGUAACCCUGCUCGAAGCAAACCACCAUGUCCCUGUUCCCUCUGCGGGAUGAUGCUUGAGUGGAGCAGACGUGCUUGAGGAAAGGUUGGUGGAUAUUGUUCUGACACAUCCCAAUAAUGCUCUGCUGGUCUUGUCCAGGGUGAUGGUUAAGUAAUCCUAAAGAGGACGUGGAAAGAGCUCCCUUUGUGACUCUCUGACUAAUGAAAAGCCCUUUAUAUAACGCUGCAAUCAACUGCAUGGGGCUGCUGGGACGGGUAAUUGGGCUACGAAGGGGCUCCAUUUAUGGGACAUUAUGUAAUUUACCAUUCUGUCACCAUCCGCUCCCAAAACUGUGGCUCUUUCUCCAAGGCUCACAUUUCCAAGCAAUCAUCAAGACUUGGCCCUUCACAUCUUAUAUCAUGAGCAGGAUCUUUACAGGUGCAGCUGGUUUGGAUUGGACUUGACUCUCCUGUGCACUAAGGAGAGCGAGAGGCAGUUCCUGGUGGGACAGUCCAGGUUUUGGCUCCUGUACAGCACAUGUAGAUGCAAAAUCCUUCUUCUUAGAGGGGGUUGUGGGUUCAAGCAACACAUCUCAUAAAAGCAGCUGUGGGACUUGCUGUGCCUGUGCCUGAGGGGAGCCAGGCAGACGUUCCCGGAGGGUACUGCUCUAUUUAUGAGAUUAUUUCCAAUAGUCUUCAAGGGCUAUUGCUGUAGGGCAGCACAAGACCAAAACCAGGCUGAAGAGCAUGAAAAACAAGGGAGGCUUCCUUGCCAGGCCUGUUCCUGAGGUGACAGUGGCCCACCCUUGGCACACUCUGUGGCACAGACACUCCUCUCUGUCAGAGCCGUGUGUGCCUGCAGAUCCCCACAUCACAUCCCACGGCAAAUCAACAGAGCUGCAUGGACUGGAGCAAACCCCAGAGCCCUCCUGCUGUCAUGUCAAUAAUCCCUGAGCAAAGUGAGCUUGGGAACUGCUGCUUUUGAUCAGAGACAUUGACAGUUAUUGAUUUAAUACUUUUCCUCAACCUUUCAAGGCUGAACGAGUGCUGUGGAGAUCCACUCUGUUGUUUUCUCCCCUGACUAAAUGAAGCACAGGUCCCUCUACAAAACCCCUGGUGUCUGCUGAUAAAAGCCUCAGAGGUGUUUGCAUGAAGCCUGAACACAAGCAGCUCUGUGGCUGGAGCAGUUGGUGGGUAAUGGCUGGGUUACACAGAAAACCAAUCUGUUCUCCAUCUGGCAGUGAGAAUAUCACUGGAAGGAAAAGGAGGCAGGACCAGAACUAGUAAGACCUCCAAAGUUCAUUGCUGCUGCAAGAGUCCACAAACAGAGAGAACAGGAGCAUCUGCUGGCAUGGUUUGAGGCCCUGAGGAUAUGGGAGGUGAGCUGGAGAAUGGGUUUUCCCCGAUUCUGCAGGUUUGUAACCAGGGUGGGGACAGGGUGAGCACCGUCCCUCUGAUGUUGAUGCCCAGGGUGGCUUGGGGGCCCUUCUGCAAUGCACACCACGACCUGACACAGAGGAGCUGAAGAUGAAGCUAAAUUAUAUUUGAUGUGUUUUUUAGGACAAGAGAAAAGCUUUGAGGAAUUAGAGCCUUGUACUAAGCACUGCAAAUAUGCAAAGUAAAGGGCAAUUUCUCUUCCCAGCUACAAAAACAGGUGGAAUUGCAACAGAGAGGUGGAAACACACAUAUAUUCAGUGAUUUUUCACAGGUCACACAGUGUGUUUUCAUUGCUCAGACUAUUUACUGAUGUGAAAAACAAAAUCCUGCUUGUAAAAUCAGAAACACGCAUUUUGGAAAGGUGUUUUCUGAGAAUUAAAUCUGGUUGGCAUCCUGAGCCAGUCCUUGCAGAGGCUAUUGUGUGGAAUGCAGGAGGACAGAUCUGGUUUUAGGCCAGGUCUGUGGGAUGACACUGAGCCUCUGAUGUUUCCCAAGUGAUGAAUUAUUUCAAGGAACAACCUGGGCGAUAGCAGCCCCUGUGUCACGGUGGCAGGGCGAGAGAGGAAGACUUUUAAAUGUUAAUUAGCAGGGAAGAGCUGUCUUGCAGACUAACCACAAAGAUCUCCGGUGAUGGCGGGAGGCAAAGGAGAGCAGCAGAGCAUUUCAUUUGUAAUGCAUGGUUUUAUUUCACCUUGGAGAUCCUCUCAUUGAUGGCUUUGGCAGGCAGAUAAUGAGACUGCAUUGCUGUAGGGUCCCUGACUGCAAGGUGCUUAAGCACAAAGGAGCCCCUAGGAAACCUCCUGGCAGGGGGCAGGAAGCCUGGCACUGGGCAGAGAUCAGGGAGGAGGCACCAGGAAAAGUUGUACCUGCAGGCAGGUGAGAAAGAGCAGAGGCUGAGGGUGCCCAGUCCCAGCUGGGCAAGGGGAGGAUGAAAUGGCAGAGCGAGAAUGAGGUGAUCCUACAGAGGUAAGAAAAUAUUGAGCUGGGUGAUGGGGCCAGCUUGAGCUCAAAUGCUCCUUUCCAUUGCUUCCUUUUUCCAUGUGGAUGUCUCCUGAGCCAAUCCCACUCCUGUGCCACUGCCAUCAGGCUGGGAGCAUUUUCCAGCCCCCCAGCCCUUCCCAUCACCUUUUUGGUAAGUGCUCAGAGGUGCUGUGGCUCUUACAUGGGAAAGGGAUUUAAUGCUCUGAGGAGAAUGGAGGGGCUUUAACUGGAAUGCUGAUGUGCCAAGUGCCACUGCAACUGCAACUGCUCGGGGCAGAGCUCCAUUCCACUGCUCUGCUUUGGGUUCCUCCACCGGGUCCAGGGGGGGACCUCUGCCCUGGCUGCCCCAUGAAGAACAUCAGUGGGGUGUGGAGUAGAGCCAUCCUCCCUCCUGAGCCAGAGGAAACACCUCUGCCUUUGCUUGGGCUGGAAAACACACCCAUCUCCAGGCCCUCCUAAACUGGAAGAGUGACUCCAUCACUCCACCACAAAUUGCUUCAUUGACAUUGUAAGGGCAAAACACAGUGUCAGACAAGAAUGAAGCCAAAUGUUGAUGCCUGAAUCUUUCUCUCUGAUUAACCAUAAAUUAAAAAAAAAAAAAAAAA
Molecule: long non-coding RNA, 4076 nt
Organism: Taeniopygia guttata (zebra finch)
Lineage: Eukaryota; Metazoa; Chordata; Aves; Passeriformes; Estrildidae
Source: Ensembl